This 842-nucleotide ribosomal RNA is filed under the name uncultured bacterium. Its description in RNAcentral is "bacterial SSU rRNA". It matches the Rfam family "Bacterial small subunit ribosomal RNA", at positions 636 to 1489 of the family's 1533-position model. The record is from RNAcentral.
AAGAUCUUGAGUGUAAAUGAGNUAGGCGGAAUGUGUUGUGUAGCGGUGAAAUGCUUAGAUAUAACACAGAACACCAAUUGCGAAGGCAGCUUACUGGGAUACAACUGACGCUGAGGCACGAAAGCGUGGGGAUCAAACAGGAUUAGAUACCCUGGUAGUCCACGCAGUAAACGAUGAAUACUAACUGUAUGCGAUAUACUGUAUGCGGUACAGCGAAAGCGUUAAGUAUUCCACCUGGGGAGUACGUUCGCAAGAAUGAAACUCAAAGGAAUUGACGGGGGCCCGCACAAGCGGAGGAACAUGUGGUUUAAUUCGAUGAUACGCGAGGAACCUUACCCGGGCUUGAAAUGCAGACGACCGAUGGGGAAACUCAUCUUCCAGCAAUGGCGUCUGUGUAGGUGCUGCAUGGUUGUCGUCAGCUCGUGCCGUGAGGUGUCGGCUUAAGUGCCAUAACGAGCGCAACCCUUAUCAUUAGUUACUAACAGGUUAAGCUGAGGACUCUAAUGAGACUGCCACCGUAAGGUGUGAGGAAGGUGGGGAUGACGUCAAAUCAGCACGGCCCUUACGUCCGGGGCGACACACGUGUUACAAUGGGGGGUACAGAGGGUCGCUACCUAGUGAUAGGAUGCUAAUCUCAUAAAGCCUCUCUCAGUUCGGAUCGGAGUCUGCAACUCGACUCCGUGAAGCUGGAUUCGCUAGUAAUCGCGCAUCAGCCAUGGCGCGGUGAAUACGUUCCCGGGCCUUGUACACACCGCCCGUCAAGCCAUGGAAGCUGGGGGGACCUGAAGUACGUAACCGCAAGGAGCGUCCUAGGGUAAAACUAGUAACUAGGGCUAAGUCGU